AGGGAUUUAGCUCAGUGGUAGAGUGCUUACCUAGUAUGUGUGAGGUUCUGAAUUCAAUCCCUA
RNAcentral lists this transfer RNA (63 nucleotides) under Ictidomys tridecemlineatus (thirteen-lined ground squirrel). RNAcentral's name for it is "Spermophilus tridecemlineatus (thirteen-lined ground squirrel) tRNA". It matches the Rfam family "tRNA". From Rfam's summary of the family: Transfer RNA (tRNA) molecules are approximately 80 nucleotides in length. The record is from Rfam by way of RNAcentral. Lineage: Eukaryota; Metazoa; Chordata; Mammalia; Rodentia; Sciuridae.